CCUACGGGAGGCAGCAGUGGGGAAUAUUGCACAAUGGGGGAAACCCUGAUGCAGCGACGCCGCGUGAGUGAAGAAGUAUUUAGGUAUGUAAAGCUCUAUCAGCAGGGAAGAAAAUGACGGUACCUGACUAAGAAGCCCCGGCUAACUACGUGCCAGCAGCCGCGGUAAUACGUAGGGGGCAAGCGUUAUCCGGAUUUACUGGGUGUAAAGGGAGCGUAGACGGCCAGACAAGUCAGAAGUGAAAGCCCAGGGCUCAACCCUGGGACUGCUUUUGAAACUGCCGGGCUGGAGUGCAGGAGAGGUAAGCGGAAUGCCUAGUGUAGCGGUGAAAUGCAUAGAUAUCACGCAGAACCCCGAUUGCGAAGGCAGCAUACCGGUGCACAACUGACGCUCAGGCACGAAAGCGUGGGUAUCGAACAGGAUUAGAUACCCUUGUAGUC
Molecule: ribosomal RNA, 440 nt
Filed under: uncultured bacterium
Lineage: Bacteria
Description: partial 16S ribosomal RNA
Rfam family: Bacterial small subunit ribosomal RNA
Source: RNAcentral